RNAcentral lists this transfer RNA (58 nucleotides) under Neotoma lepida (desert woodrat). It matches the Rfam family "tRNA", at positions 8 to 63 of the family's 71-position model. From Rfam's summary of the family: Transfer RNA (tRNA) molecules are approximately 80 nucleotides in length. Their secondary structure includes four short double-helical elements and three loops (D, anti-codon, and T loops). Further hydrogen bonds mediate the characteristic L-shaped molecular structure. tRNAs have two regions of fundamental functional importance: the anti-codon, which is responsible for specific mRNA codon recognition, and the 3' end, to which the tRNAs corresponding amino acid is attached (by aminoacyl-tRNA synthetases). tRNAs cope with the degeneracy of the genetic code in two manners: having more than one tRNA (with a specific anti-codon) for a particular amino acid; and 'wobble' base-pairing, i.e. permitting non-standard base-pairing at the 3rd anti-codon position. The record is from Rfam by way of RNAcentral. Lineage: Eukaryota; Metazoa; Chordata; Mammalia; Rodentia; Cricetidae.
UAGCUCAGUUAGUAGAGAGCUUGCCUUUCAAGCAUGAGGACCUGAGUUCAAACCCCAG